CGACACUUGACCGAACGGCCUGCGGUGCUUUUUGUCCCUUUGUCCGCCCCGUAGAAACGGGAAGUACAAGAGAAAGCUACUGAAAAAUAAAAACAAAUUGAUGCUAAAACAUCCAAACAUAUUUGUCCCAAAAUGGACAGUCAGAACCCAAAGUCAACGAAUAACGAUUCACGCUGCGUAUUUUUUAACACAGUUUCAGAAGACUACCAAUGUGUGGUGAUUUUAAGGGUAAAACGAGCCACAGGAACCUUCUCCUUAGUAGGAUGCGUUUUCAUGCUCUUUGUGAUUUGGCUGCUUCGCAGGUAUCACUCUCUGGCUCAGAAGAUGAUUCUCAGCCUGACUGUAGCUGCCUUCUUCAACAGUGUAGCAUACGUCAUGGGUGACUCACAUCCAGUGGGAGCUCUGUGUGACUUCCAGGCCUGCUGGUUAACUUACUUUGACUGGAGUGCCUUGGCCUGGGUUUGUCUCAUCACUCUGAACCUCUACCUCAACCUGGUGAGAGAAAUCAGCACCAACCGAUACGAGAUGUUGUACCAUCUGAUGGCGUGGGGGCUUCCUCUGGUCAUGGCCUCCCUGCCCCUGCUAAAGGGCUACUACGGCCCCGCUGGAGCCUGGUGAUGGUACGUGCCUCUGUUCAGCCUCAUCUUCUUGAUGAUCUGCUGCUACGCGCGGAUAAUCUGCGUGGCCACCGCAAGGAUGCAGUCAUGGUUGGGAACCUUCAACCCAGAGAGAGAGAGACGAAAGGUAAUGGCCUGUCCGAGAGUCACAUUUCUCCACGCACGCACACACCGAGCGUGAGGAUUAGAGUGUGUGCAGGAUUAGCUUUGGUGUUCCCGCUGGGUAGGUGUCAAACGGCGGGGAGCAAUUUGACCUUGUGACACUUGUGUGUGUGCGUUUCAUGGGCUUGUGUGUGUCCGUCUGUGCGCGCCAGCCCGUCCAUGCAUAUUUAAAUUUUGGAGCAGCGGCGCCUCUGCUCCUGACCUUACUGAAAGGAAAAGAAGGACAGGGGAGGCUGCCUGGGAAAAAUAUUAAGAUCUAGAGCAGUCCGAUUGUGAAAACAGGACAUGGGCUGCCGGGGAAAAGAGGAGAACGCCUCAACCUCCGGUUCUGCCGAGGGAACCCCGCGCGGCGUGUUACUGUCAUUCCCUCUACGGCCCAGCAGGGGGCGACUCCUCUGGUGGCAGAAAGAAGUCCUAUGUACGAUGUCUCUAUGAUGAAAGUCCUGCUUUGAACAGGACCGUGUUGACAUGCUGUAAAUUGCAAAUACGUCGACCGGGAAUCGUUGUGGUUGUGCAGUGAAGAAGGAAGAAGACCACCAGUGAAAACAACCCGAACCAAACUGCUAUUCCGAAGAGGAGUCAUAAUUAACUGUAACAUAUUAACAGACUUCUGUAUUGCCUUUGCACAAGUCCAGUAAGGAAGAAAGAAAGUCAGGUAAUCCAUUUAUUAUCAGACGACUAACGUUCGAUAUCCUGUAAACUAGGGGUGCCCAACCAACACGCCGCGGACCAGUACCGGUCUGUGGGCCAUAUUGACCAAUCCGCGAUUUAUUGUCUCAUAUGAAAACGGUCCGACGGGCAAAAAAGGUUGGAGACCCCUGCUGUCCCCAACCUGUCAAUCUAAUAACUGGCCUUCUUUGACGUGCAGUUGGGUUUUCAGUGGACUGUUUGUAAUGUCAGUCUGGUGCGGAUGCCAAGUUACAAAAAUUCUGAGAUGCCCGUCCAUGAGCGACAUUUCACGCUGUUACAGAGAAACGUUUGUAUGUAAUUCAUUGUCGUGUGAAGCAUUUUACAUUUAAAAGAAAACAUUCUUUCUGAAAUGUGUUCAAAAAAAAAUUGUCCCCUACAUGUAUGGAAGAGCCGUACUAAUCUGCUGGACAGCAAUGGAUUGAUAUGCAAUCAUUAAUUUCCAUUACUGGUAUCGGGAAGUGGCAUCUAACACCUGCCCACACAGAACUACUGCCCAAUGGUUUAAGCCUUGAAAUCCUGCACAAAGGUGCUCAGGGUCACACUCCUAUUCACCACGCGUCCAGCAGCAGCAGCAGUACCUGUUCUGUUGUUACCCCCCCCCCCUCCAGGGUGCGCUGGGGGGGGGGGGCAGUUUAGGGUUAAGGUUAUGUAGAUGCUGCCCCUAAGUGGCAGAUGUAAUUACUGCACAUUGAACUGGCGUAACCCUCACCGCCCAGACAACACACGCACACACACACACACACACACACACACUGUUCAUGUGGGCUAAUUGCUACGUGUAAAUAAGUCAGCAGGGUUUUUUUUUUAUCACACACUCGUUUCCUCGUAUUUCUCUUCCCCAAUCGCUCUCCUCGUUUCCAUCUGUUUUCCUCUGCCUCUCGCUUCGGUCCUCCUCUCUCUCUCUCUCUUCCCCCCCUACUCUUUUUUGUUCUCUCCUUCCCUCCCUCCGUCUCUCUCCCUCUCUUGUACCCAGCAUGAAUAAAGCAGCAAGCCAGGUUCAUGGACAUGAAUAUUUAUGAGUUUAUGCACGCGCUGCGAUGCUUUAAAACAACAACAACAGCCUCCCCGAUUGUGCUUGCCAAGCCAGCGAGCUCUCUGGCUUGUGUGUGUGUGUGUGUGUGUGUGUGUGUGUGUGUGUGUGUGUGUGUGUGUGUGUGUGUGUGUGUGUGUGUGUGUGUGUGUGUGUGUGUGUGUGGCAGCAGGUGUAAACUAGAGAAAGCGAUUCCUGCUGGGUGUCUGAAGACCGCCGGCUCUGGUUAUUUCCAUUCACUUCGCCACAUCUCCCUCCUGCUGUGCCUCACAUGUUCUCUGUCGCCAUCUCUCUCACACUGUGCCACACGCACACACACACACACACACACGCAUACAAGAGCAUGCAUGCUUCUUUUGUUUUGCAUUCACGCAUGUAGUUUCCUGCGUUCACCAUUCUUGAUCUUUUCUCUCGCUCUGACUCAGCCUGGCACCAUCCCCCUUCUUCGCUGUGUGUGUCUGUGUGUGUGUGUGUGUGUGUGUCUGUGUGUGUGUGGGGCUGGAGAGAUGACGUACGUAACUGGUGUUGGCAGUUAUCAGGGCCGUCAGUCACAUGGUUUCGACACAUCUCUCUGUGUCUCGAGCAAUUUGUUUGUGGUCACGCAUGAAUACGCACACACACACACACACACACACACACAGCGCACAAGGUCUUGGAGCAGCAUAGGUAAGUAGGGGGGGGGGGGGGGGGGGGGUAUUUAGAAGAGGGUGUUUAAAUCAGGCCUUCCGAACACACACACACACACACAAAAACAGGCGGACUUCUGAACACGUUUGCCCACACAGCAGCUCGGUCCCGUCGGGUAGCAACAAAGCUGGCUGAGCAAACAGCGAGCUGCUUGUUCGUUAUCUUCCCCGGGUGUUUGUUUACUGAUCCACACAAGCUUCCAGUCACAAUGGGACGUGUCAGCUCGCGUGUCCUGGUGCACGUACGUGACGCUCAACCUUGUUCCUCGCCGAGCGGAAGGCCCUACCGCUCCGUGUAGCCGUCCUUAAUUCCUGUGCCAAAUUUUUUUUUUUUUCCCACACCUCAACGACGCCGUGAAGGCGCCGCGGUGCUGCAAGGACAGUUGGCUUUGUGUCUCCCAGGCGCCGCACGCCGCUCUGCCAGAACGCGCGUACCUCCGUUUGGAGGGAUCGGCGCCCCAGCUGUCAGAUAGCGAGACGCUCUGAGCAGCUCAGUAAUCCUCGCCGGUGUCUUUAACGGGAUGUGUUUGGCUUUUAUCUGUCCUUUUUAUUUGCUACAUCAAUCUCGCCAAAAUUGCCAUUUUGUAGCUUGUCUGGAGCUUUACGUUGUAGAGCCUCGUCUUCGUGAGGUCGCUAAUAAAAAUGAUACGUUUAUAUUUCUAUUUAAACUUUUCCAAAAAGACUCAAUGGUUCAAAAGUAUUUAUCCAAAAAUGACAUUCUAAUUUACUUAUAAAUGCACGCUCUAAAUCGUGAGUAAAACCUAAUUGUGUUAAUCUUGCAGCAGAAGAUUUUAAUUUCUCAUGGAAACGUUUCAUUAUGAAAUUCUAAAUACGUUUGUACCCUGAUUUUAAGUGUACAAAAAUAGCUUGUUUUUUAAGGUCCCUGAAUGUGAUGUUCCCGUUCGCUGGAGCGCCGCUGUUCUCUUUGGAGGAGGUUAUCUCUUUCUUCCUCUCCCGGUGAAGGGGCCCGGUCGCUCCCGACAACGCCCCAGUAAUCUAGCGUGCGUCAUUAAUGUCCGGUCCGCUGCCCCCGGCGCACACAAUUACGCUUUCAAUCCGCGGGGGACGGCGGGGGGGGGGGGGAUGUGAUUAAAAACACCCGGCUCUUUAGCCGCGCUCUCCCUCUUCCUCCUCCUCCUCCUCCUCCUCCUGGUCCACAUCCUGCCUCUUGCGCAUUGAAAUUCCUCAAAUGCCUGCCUCUAUCUACGCCGUACUUCUACCCCCCCACCGCCCCCCCAUCCCAGUGCGUAGACUCCUGGCUCGCCUUUUCCCUACGUCCCAAUGACACAACCUCCACCGCGCGCGCGCACACGCACGCACGCACACACACACACACACAAUAGGCAGAGCUUCCUAUAUGCUUAAUGUUAACCCUUCUGCUCUACCCAACGAGACCCUGCUCGCGUGCACGCGGCGCAGUGGAAGCUCGGCUUUUUUAUUCAAUAUUUUUGAUUUGCACUGACGCACGCGCGCACGUACAUAAAAUGAAAUACCACGGGUGGGUGGGUCCUCGUGAUUUCCAUUAGAAUGGUUAAGAAUACCUUCUCUAGAGCUCGCACGCCUCGGGGUAUUUUCUGGUGAGUAAUUAAUUUUCCAGCAUGUGGGGGGGGGGUGGAGACCGGAGCUCGCGGGCCCAUGCCUUCUGGCUCCGACUGCGCGCGCGGGCGUGUGCGACUGCUACCGCGUCCUAGUUUCAAAUUGGAGGAGGAGGGGGAGGGAGGGUGCGUGUGCGUGUGCGCUCGCGUGUGUGGAGGAAACAGCGCAGCGCAGCGCAGAAAAUCGAUCCAGGGGCCGCGCUUCUCAGCCUCCUUCCGGGCGCACGAGUCCUCUGCGGGGAAUU
Molecule: long non-coding RNA, 5025 nt
Organism: Gasterosteus aculeatus aculeatus (three-spined stickleback)
Lineage: Eukaryota; Metazoa; Chordata; Actinopteri; Perciformes; Gasterosteidae
Source: Ensembl